Molecule: long non-coding RNA, 1734 nt
Organism: Neofelis nebulosa (Clouded leopard)
Lineage: Eukaryota; Metazoa; Chordata; Mammalia; Carnivora; Felidae
Exons: 3
Source: RefSeq, a predicted model, not a curated record
UCCUAAGAUUGAAAUCUAAAGAAAGCUAGCAACCCUAUACUCCAAUCUUGGAUUUCCUCUUUCCAAAAGGGUAUUUCCUCUUGAUCGCUACACCUAAAACUCUAAAAAUGUCAGUUCUGGAAUUGUGAACAAUGGUGGUGCUUUGUAAAAACAGGUUAAAAAAAAUUAAGCAGGUAAGGGAAGUUGAAAGUGGAUAUCUGCUAGGCAGUGGGGACAGGCAUGGAAAAACAGAAGUAGAGAAGUAUGCAAAAACCAAACAACAGGAAAAAUCAGUACGCAAGAACCAAAUAGAGGCAGAAUUCAGAAUGUGCCAGAAAUCAGGCAAAGACACCAAAUUGACCAGAAAUCCCAAAAGAAUGCCUUAAAUGACCAGGAAUGUCAAAAACUAGGCAGAUGGUUAGGAACCCAGUGAGCAAACAGGUGAUCAGGAGGUAAGAGUGCAGCCUCUGCAAGAGAUGACAUAAUCAAGCACCCAGGCAAAGAUGUCUACAAGGAAACCCUGAUUCUCAGGACAAAUGCCUAUGUUGUUCACAAAUGGUGUCCAACUUGAUGCUGUCAGGAGAAGUAGGAAAGAAGAAAUCGAGUUGCUGAGGGAAUAUGGAAUUGGAGCAACCAGAGCAGGUCCUCCUUUUUCUUCCUUUUGUUAACAAAAAAUUUGACUGCAUGACUAGAGAGCUGGCUAAUUUUCUUCACUUUUGGAUACUUUUAUUCAAAUAAGAAUUCACAGCACUCUGUUGCUCUCUUCCUAGGUGAUGUGGCGUUCUUAAUUGGUUCUCACAGAUGUUGCACUGAUUCAGGUCUUGGCAAGGGACUUACAGCAUCUCAGGACAAGUUGAGAACUGAAAAUAGAUCCUGUCCAUUGACUCAGCAGGAUUGGAGAGCUUGCUUCUUAAUAAUCCUGCACCAAGUUAGAACUCAUGUCUAGGACAUCCUAUUCCAUGCCAUUGCGGGUCUGAUUUUCUUGUAAAGGUAGUUUUCUUAUUAAAACAGAAGUAUUGACAGAUGUUAUAUUCUCCUUCAUUACAGAAUGCAAGCCAAGUUCUACAGAUAUGAACAUUGGGUGAUAUUUGCCUUCUCUUUAUAAAGUACAGGUCUUACAGAACUCACUCCCUGUCAAAGUCAACUGGGGAAACAGAAUCUUUUAUCUUUAUUGGCAGAAGGGUUUAUCUAUUUCAUUUCCUUCUUUUAAGCUGGGGGACCAGUCCUCCCUCAUUUGUGGUUUCGCUUCCCACAGUUUCAGUUACCCAUGGUCAACCGCGAGCCAGAAGCAGAUGAUCCUCUUUCUGACAUACUCUCGGAAGGUCAGUAGCAGCCUAACACUACGUCACAAUGCCCACGUCAUUCACCUCACUUCAUCUCAUCACACAGACAUUUAGUCAUCUCACAACAUCACAAGAAGUAGGGUCUGACAGGCAACUUUGGACCACAUCCAGUCUUGUUGAGGUGCCCGUGCUUCUAUCUAGGUUACUGUCUCUUGGAUUGCUCAUUCUGGGGGAAAACAGCUGCCGUGUGGUGAGGAAAGAUACACACAAUGAAGAACUGAACCAAAAACCAUGUGAGUGAGUCAUCUUGGAGCAGCUCCUUGGCAUCAUUCAAGGCUUGACAUGAUGGCAGCUCCAGAUGACAUUGACUGCAACAGCAUAAGAGAUCCUAACCAGAUCUACCCUGCUAACCUGUUCCUGGAUCUGACCUUUGGGAACUGUGUGAGAUAAUAAAUACUGCUUUAACUGCUAA